GUGCUCACUUUGGCAGCACAUAUACUAAAAUUGGAACAAUUACAGAGAAGAUUAACACGGCCCCUGUGCAAGGAUGACACGCAAAUUGGUGAAGUGUUCUGUAUUUAA
Small nuclear RNA from Sarcophilus harrisii (Tasmanian devil), 108 nucleotides. NCBI's taxonomy places the organism in Eukaryota, Metazoa, Chordata, Mammalia, Dasyuromorphia, Dasyuridae. The record is from Ensembl.